UCACUAGAAAUAAAAAUGAUUUUGAAGUGCAUUGCUAUUGUUGGUAAAACAGAAUCCCAGAAUGGUUUGGGUUGGAAAGGACAUUAAAGAUCAUUUUGUUCCAGCCCCUGCCAUGGGCAGGGACACCUUCCACUAGAUCAGGCAGAGCCAUAUCCAGCCUGGCCUUGGCCAUGUGGCCAACAUGGACCAGGCCACUUAGCCAACAUGGACCAGACCACUUAGCCCACACCCAGCUUGUAACAAAAGAAAAAAAGUGAUUUCUUCCCAAUAAAUAAAUUUUUAUUUC
Molecule: long non-coding RNA, 286 nt
Organism: Chiroxiphia lanceolata (lance-tailed manakin)
Lineage: Eukaryota; Metazoa; Chordata; Aves; Passeriformes; Pipridae
Exons: 3
Source: RefSeq, a predicted model, not a curated record